AGUGAACGCUGGCGGUAGGCCUAACACAUGCAAGUCGAACGGCAGCACAGGAGAGCUUGCUCUCUGGGUGGCGAGUGGCGGACGGGUGAGGAAUACAUCGGAAUCUACUCUGUCGUGGGGGAUAACGGAGGGAAACUUACGCUAAUACCGCAUACGACCUACGGGUGAAAGCAGGGGACCUUCAGGCCUUGCGCUAUUGAAUGAGCCGGUGUCGGAUUAGCCAGUCGGCGGGGUAAAGGCCCACCAAGGCGACGAUCCGUAGCUGGUCUGAGAGGAUGAUCAGCCACACUGGAUGUGAGACACGGUCCAGACUCCUGCGGGAGGCAGCAGUGGGGAAUAUUGGACAAUGGGCGCAAGCCUGAUCCGGCCAUACCGCGUGGGUUAAGAAGGCCCUCGGGUUGUAAAGCCCUUUUGUUGGGAAAGAAAUCCAGCUGGCUAAUACCCGGUUGGGAUGACGGUACCCAAAGAAUAAGCACCGGCUAACUUCGUGCCAGCCGCCGCUGUAA
This 506-nucleotide ribosomal RNA is filed under the name uncultured bacterium. RNAcentral's name for it is "partial 16S ribosomal RNA". It matches the Rfam family "Bacterial small subunit ribosomal RNA", at positions 29 to 523 of the family's 1533-position model. The record is from RNAcentral.